AAAAAAAAAAAAAAAAAAAAAAAAAAAAAAAAAAAAAACCGGGAAAAGGAAAAGACAAAGAGAAGAUUUUUAGUUUGAAGUACACAAAGUUUAGUCAAGGGAAGAAGCUAAGCAAGGUACCCUCUGGUCCAGCCGCAUCGCCACGUGUCACUCAUACAAUGAGUUUCUUUUGCCUCCAAUACUUCUCGCCAAAAAGAAACUAGGGGGAUGUUGUUUGAGGGAAAAAUAGGAAAGGUAAUAGAGCGCCACGUGUCAGCCAAUGGAAUGAUAUCAGCACAAUCGGAGGUACCCUGCAUAAUUAGAGGUAUCCCACACAAAUAGAGGUACCCCAUAUAAUAUGAGGUACCCCAUACAAAUAGAGGUACCCCAUACAGAUAGGGGUACCCCGCGUAAUAGGGGGUACCCCAUGUAAUUCGAGGUAUCCGGAAAAGCGAAUGCAAGAGAAUCCACCGAAAAUACCCGCCAUGAGAAACGUCUCCGCCUCCUAAAAGAUAUCAUUUGAUUUUGUCAGAAUUAGGAAUCAAAAGCGACGUGCUAAAAGGAGGGACAGCCGCCU
RNAcentral lists this long non-coding RNA (556 nucleotides) under Citrus maxima (pomelo). Its description in RNAcentral is "long non-coding RNA (CMAX_LNC001391)". The record is from RNAcentral. Lineage: Eukaryota; Viridiplantae; Streptophyta; Magnoliopsida; Sapindales; Rutaceae.